This 253-nucleotide ribosomal RNA is filed under the name uncultured bacterium. RNAcentral describes it as "partial 16S ribosomal RNA". It matches the Rfam family "Bacterial small subunit ribosomal RNA", at positions 524 to 776 of the family's 1533-position model. The record is from RNAcentral.
UACGAAGGUCCCGAGCGUUAUCCGGAUUCAUUGGGUUUAAAGGGUGCGUAGGCGGAAUAUUAAGUCAGUGGUGAAAUCUUGCAGCUUAACUGUAAAACUGCCAUUGAUACUGAUGUUCUUGAGUACAUUUGAUGAGGGCGGAAUAUGUCAUGUAGCGGUGAAAUGCUUAGAUAUGACAUAGAACACCGAUUGCGAAGGCAGCUCUCAAAACUGUAACUGACGCUGAUGCACGAAAGCGUGGGGAUCAAACAGG